UCGAGAAUUUUUCACAAUGGACGAAAGUCUGAUGGAGCGACGCCGCGUGGAGGAUGAAGGUUCUUGGAUUGUAAACUCCUGUCACUGCAGAACAAGGCUACAUGUAUGAAUAGUACGUGUAGUUGAUGGUAUGCGGAGAGGAAGGGACGGCUAACUCUGUGCCAGCAGCCGCGGUGAGACAGAGGUCCCGAGCGUUGUUCGGAUUCAUUGGGCGUAAAGGGUGUGUAGGAGGUCAGGUAAGUCGUGUGUGAAAUCUCAGAGCUUAACUCUGAAACUGCGCUCGAUACUGCUUGGCUAGAGGAUCGGAGGGGGUAACGGAAUUUAUGGUGUAGCAGUGAAAUGCGUAGAUAUCAUAAGGAACACCGGUGGCGAAGGCGGUUACCUGGAAGAUUCCUGACUCUGAAACACGAAAGCCAGGGGAGCAAACG
Molecule: ribosomal RNA, 428 nt
Filed under: uncultured bacterium
Lineage: Bacteria
Description: bacterial SSU rRNA
Rfam family: Bacterial small subunit ribosomal RNA
Source: RNAcentral